UUUUGGCACAUUUUUUUUGUUUAACUUUCUGAGGUUGCCAUCUCUUAUUUACCAGUAUUCGUUAUCGAGUACCGGUACCGAUACCGGUAUUGGUCCUUCAUCCCUGGAUAUAAUUUUUUAUAUUUACUUUAUUUGUAUAAGUGCAAACAUUUCCGCAGCCCAAAUCCAACCCGUUGAACGACUUAAUCCAGUAAUCUGAAUAGUUGUACAUUUGUGAACCUUCUGCCUGAUGAAUUUCAACAAAUCUAAAUACAGAUCUCAAUUGGCUGAAAUCUAAAAUAUGUUUUAACAAUUGCUGAAUUGCCACAAUCAAACUGAAACUAAAAUUUGAUGUUUUUGGGUAAAAAAUAGCUCAAGGAUUAUUGUUUUCCCUUUUUGUUUUUGUAACACUUUAAAUUUUUUUUUUAAUUUUUGUCCGAGGUCCGAGAACUUUGUCCAACCCUGCUCUAUUUCAUAUUUUCAGCUUUGUUGAGAAAUAAAUCACUGAUUUUUGAAUAAUAUCUAUUUUGUUUUAAAAUUCAAUAGAAUUAUAUUGGGUAAUCAUAUAUAUUAAUAUGAUUUAUUUUCAGUAUGUAUGCUAUGUAAUCUUACCCAACCAACCUUAAUUAAGUGUUAUUAUAUUUUAAAGUGAAUUGGAAAGUAGACCGCUAGCAAAAAAGAUUCGGGCGAUUGGGGGGAAGCCCAUCUCUGUACAAUGACUGCCGAAUGUGCAUGCAACUGUGCAAUGCCCAGCGACUCUAAAAGUAUGAAGUAUUGUACGACACAUCCUUUACAAAUAUUUGGACAUAUUUUGUGUAAUAUCCAUUUUUUUCCGGUUCUAAAUAAUUAUUACCGAUUAGAUAUUCUGUCAAGUGUCAAUAUUACCAUUAGAUCAAGCCAUGCUCCAAUCCAGUCCAUGGAAAAAUUGUUGGGACAGGCGGUAGAAACUCUUAUGCUACAAGCUACGGCAUCUGCAACUUUCCACUGAUUAUAGUGUGGACUCGGACAUAAAGGAAUUGAUGAAAUUCAUUGUCAAUUUAUUGUCUGAUUACAUUUUGAUCCAGAAAACAUUCAAGGAUGAAAAAAUCGCUCAUAAGAUAUUUGUCAAGUCUCGGAGGUUGCUCCAAGAAAGACUGGUUUGGAGAAUCAUGAGCUCAGUUAUAACAAAUUUACUCUCCCGCUCUUUCAACUGUGCAAGACGCGGUGGAUAAGGAGUGAGUGGGACGCCCUUAGUUUCUGCUAUUAAAGCUCUGGAUGAUCUGGCAACGAACUCCGAUUAAUUUUAUUACAUGUAUACAUAUUUGUAAAAUAAAGACAUUUUGUUA
Molecule: non-coding RNA, 1304 nt
Organism: Styela clava
Lineage: Eukaryota; Metazoa; Chordata; Ascidiacea; Stolidobranchia; Styelidae
Source: RefSeq, a predicted model, not a curated record